GAGGGCUGUUUAGAAUGAAGGCAGAAGGGGUGAUCAGGGAAAAGUCCACAUCGACUCCUAUCUCACAGCUGCUUUGAGAGACUAUCAUCAUCACCCCUCCCUCUGCGAGUGCUGCACAGAGGUCUGCACGGCUCUACUCUCAGCAGUCUGCCUUCUUCCCUGGACUCUGUAUGCCCUGGCUGUAGGGGUGGAAGACAGAUUUCCCCUCCAACUCACAGCUGGAAAUCUUUUGCUGAUUUUUCUAAUGCUAAAGCUGCCACACCACAAACCACCACCUCGCUGCUCCUGGAUGGGGAGAGCCUCAUCUGUCCGAGUGGGGAAGUCCUCUACCACUUCAGAGACAGAGGGCACUUCCCUUGUGUGUUCUGCCUACUCUGUGCAAUAUAUCCAGGGCCUGUCUUUUACCCACAUCCCCCUGCAGUGCCUGCUUUGGGGACACAAGCCAGCCUCACUAGGCAGCAAGUUUCACAGCCCCGAUGGUGGGCGGAGAGCACCAGAGCACUCAGCAGCACCAGAGCUCCAAAGGAAACCCCAAGGGCUGCAGGAAGCGGUGCUUGUGACUCAGCUUUACCAGAUGAAUCAGCACCUAACUGCCCAUAAGAAAAGUUCAAACAAGGAUCAGGCUUUUGCCUCUACAGCAGCUAUGCAUGACCCACACUGAAACUUCCACCCCUGGAGCAGUGAUCCCUGGGUAGCUGCUGAAUGCCCCUUCCAGCAUUUGAAAUUCAGUCAAUCGUUGUUUCACGGAGCAGAGAAAUCAGACUGGGGUGUGAUUCAGGCUCCUAAAAGAGGAGGUAGUACCAGUCUAAAUCCCUGGGCUACCCAUGAUGUGCCUUCAGGGCUGACAGACCUGACACAAGACCUGUGCCCUUCUGGAGCAGCAGCUGGAGUUCAGAAAGUGCAAGAAAUGUACCAGCAAAGAAUGAAAAUCUCCUCUGAUGUCAUGGAAGAUGUCGGGGUUUGACUUAUGCUAUAAAACCUGGGCAUAUUUAUCCCUUCCUGGAAGAAACGCUUGGAACACUUCUGUUAAGUGGUGAGCUCAUGCCAGCAGGGGAACAGUAAAUCAUCUCUGAUGAAAGACUCUGUUAACACCGAAAUACUGACACGCAUUAAAAGAAAAAGCAGCCAAAAGGCAAACUGUCUGCUUCCAGGGUCUGAUUUCGGCUCUUGGUAGAUAAGGUGACCCAUCUAUCACUCCAACUACGAUCUCUACAGUAAAGGACAAGAGGUGAAAUACACUCUGCUUCUUUUACUACCAUGGGCGUAGUUGUUCUUUCAAAAAGUAGUGAACUGUGGCAGCAAACCCUGUCAUCCAAGCCCGAGAUCCUGCCUGACAAAAGGCAGAACCAUGUGUUUGGAAGAAUGCUGAACAGCCUGUGAUGCACAUAGCCAAUCGUGCAUUGCUGUACACAGCUCAUUGUCAAAUUCCACUCUUUUUUGCUGAAGAUCUGCUUACACUGCUCUGUUUUACAAAGCCACUAUCUACUGGCCACCAUAGCAAGCAACUCAGCCCUUUCAGUAUUUACUGCAAUGAAUUUCCACCCCGUUAAGUCAUCCUACGGUAACCUCAGCCACAGGAGUGGGAAGAGGAGAGAGGAAUCCAGCUGCCCACAGGAGUGAUGGGAUCUGACCCUUGCGUACCUGCAAG
This is a long non-coding RNA of Myiozetetes cayanensis, 1648 nucleotides long. RefSeq lists it as uncharacterized. The transcript has 3 exons. The record is from RefSeq and is a predicted model, not a curated record. NCBI's taxonomy places the organism in Eukaryota, Metazoa, Chordata, Aves, Passeriformes, Tyrannidae.